AAGAGAAGAGCCUGUGAGAUUAGCCAAGGAGACUGCCUGGCAGCCAAACAUGAAUUUUAGACAUACGACAAUGCCAUUCAUGUGAUUGGAGGCAGGCAAGUCAUCCUUGGCUACCAAACAAUGUUCUUUUCUUCAUGUAAGGCCUCCAGCUUCCUGCAUGCACUGGUCAAACUCAAUCCAUCAUAUAUCGAUCGAUCUUGCUUCUUUACGGGUACAAUGCACAAUGCUGACAACCGAUCCUGUAUUGUUAUAAGAAGCUGAAGAAGAAGAAGAAGAAGAAGAAGAAGAAGAAGAAGAAGAAGAGAAGGGUAUAGCAUGAGAAGAAGAGGUUGUCAAGUUAGCCAAAGGAGACUGCCUGGUGGCUGCUGCGGAGAACCCAACAACACGUAGGAGAGUGAGUACUUACGUACUGCCACCUCGUGGAUUGGAUUGGAAUUAGGAGCGCGCGGCAGCACAGCAGGCAAGUCAUCCUUGGCUACCAAACAACACUCUUCUCU
RNAcentral lists this small RNA (497 nucleotides) under Malus domestica (apple). The record is from RNAcentral. Lineage: Eukaryota; Viridiplantae; Streptophyta; Magnoliopsida; Rosales; Rosaceae.